GCCAUUGCCGGGUCAUACACAUGCAGUCGUACGAGAAAUCCCGGGCUUGCUCGGGAAAGUAAAGUGGCGCACGGGUGAGUAACGCGUGGGUAACCCACCUCCGAAUCGGGAAUAACUCCGCGAAAGUGGAGCUAAUACCCGGUAAGACCACGUCCUGCCCGCAGGAUGGGGUAAAAGCUGACCUCUCCACGGAAGUUGGCGUUCGGAGACGGGCCCGCGUCCUAUCAGCUAGUUGGUAGGGUAAUGGCCUACCAAGGCAACGACGGGUAGCUGGUCUGAGAGGAUGAUCAGCCACACUGGAACUGGAACACGGUCCAGACUCCUACGGGAGGCAGCAGUGAGGAAUUUUGCGCAAUGGGCGAAAGCCUGACGCAGCAACGCCGCGUGAGCGAAGAAGGCCUUCGGGUCGUAAAGCCCUGUCAGGUGGGAAGAACCGUUCCGGCACGAAUACUGCUGGAACCUGACGGUACCACCAGAGGAAGCACCGGCCAACUCCGUGCCAGCAGCCGCGGUAAUACGGAGGGUGCGAGCGUUGUUCGGAAUCAUUGGGCGUAAAGGGCGUGUAGGCGGUUAGGUAAGUCAGAUGUGAAAGCCCUGGGCUCAACCCAGGAAGUGCAUUUGAAACUACUUGACUUGAGUACGGGAGAGGACGGGGGAAUUCCCGGUGUAGAGGUGAAAUUCGUAGAUAUCGGGAGGAAUACCGGUGGCGAAGGCGCCCGUCUGGACCGAUACUGACGCUGAGACGCGAAAGCGUGGGGAGCAAACAGGAUUAGAUACCCUGGUAGUCCACGCCGUAAACGAUGAGCACUAGGUGUAGCGGGUAUUGACCCUUGCUGUGCCGUAGCUAACGCAUUAAGUGCUCCGCCUGGGGAUUACGGUCGCAAGACUAAAACUCAAAGGAAUUGACGG
Molecule: ribosomal RNA, 909 nt
Filed under: uncultured delta proteobacterium
Lineage: Bacteria; Deltaproteobacteria
Description: bacterial SSU rRNA
Rfam family: Bacterial small subunit ribosomal RNA
Source: RNAcentral